CCUUUCGGAGGCUUUAACAUGCAAGUCGAGGGGUAUAUGUCUUCGGAUAUAGAGACCGGCGCACAGGUGCGUAAAAGAGAGAAAUCUACCUUUUACAGAGGGAUAGCCCAGAGAAAUUUGGAUUAAUACCUCAUAGUAUAGUGACUCGGCAUCGAGAUACUAUUAAAGUCACAACGGUAAAAGAUGAGCAUGCGUCCCAUUAGCUAGUUGGUAAGGUAACGGCUUACCAAGGCUACGAUGGGUAGGGGUCCUGAGAGGGAGAUCCCCCACACUGGUACUGAGACACGGACCAGACUCCUACGGGAGGCAGCAGUGAGGAAUAUUGGACAAUGGGCGCAAGCCUGAUCCAGCCAUGCCGCGUGCAGGAUGACGGUCCUAUGGAUUGUAAACUGCUUUUGUACGAGAAGAAACACUCCUACGUGUAGGAGCUUGACGGUAUCGUAAGAAUAAGGAUCGGCUAACUCCGUGCCAGCAGCCGCGGUAAUACGGAGGAUCCAAGCGUUAUCCGGAAUCAUUGGGUUUAAAGGGUCCGUAGGCGGUUUAGUAAGUCAGUGGUGAAAGCCCAUCGCUCAACGGUGGAACGGCCAUUGAUACUGCUAAACUUGAAUUAUUAGGAAGUAACUAGAAUAUGUAGUGUAGCGGUGAAAUGCUUAGAGAUUACAUGGAAUACCAAUUGCGAAGGCAGGUUACUACUAAUGGAUUGACGCUGAUGGACGAAAGCGUGGGUAGCGAACAGGAUUAGAAUACCCUGGGUUAAAAA
Molecule: ribosomal RNA, 760 nt
Filed under: Flavobacterium sp.
Lineage: Bacteria; Pseudomonadati; Bacteroidota; Flavobacteriia; Flavobacteriales; Flavobacteriaceae
Description: bacterial SSU rRNA
Rfam family: Bacterial small subunit ribosomal RNA
Source: RNAcentral